Molecule: non-coding RNA, 27 nt
Filed under: Mus musculus (house mouse)
Lineage: Eukaryota; Metazoa; Chordata; Mammalia; Rodentia; Muridae
Also listed under: 1 other name
Source: RNAcentral
UGGAAACUCUGCCUGGAUAAAUGCUCC